AUUGAACGCUGGCGGCAGGCCUAACACAUGCAAGUCGAACGCGUGGCGGACGGGUGAGUAAUGUCUGGGAACCUGCCUGAUGGAGGGGGAUAACUACUGGAAACGGUAGCUAAUACCGCAUACCAUCAGAUGUGCCCAGAUGUGAUUAGCUUGUUGGUGGGGUAAUGGCUCACCAAUGCGACGAUCACUAGCUGGUAUGAGAGGAUGACCAGACAAAAUGGAACUGAGACACGGGCCAAACUCCGACGGGAGGCAGCGGUGGGGAUGAGUGGAAAAUGGGCGAAAGCCUGAGGACGCCAUGCCGGGUGUAUGAAGAGGGCCUGCGGGUUUGAAAGUACUUUCAGCGGGGAGGCGUUACCCGAAGAAGAAGGACCGGCUAACUCCGUGCCAGCAGCCGCGGUAAUUC
Molecule: ribosomal RNA, 406 nt
Filed under: uncultured bacterium
Lineage: Bacteria
Description: partial 16S ribosomal RNA
Rfam family: Bacterial small subunit ribosomal RNA
Source: RNAcentral